AAUUGUAUCAUGCAUUCAUAGUUAUAAUUGCCUCGUCAACACUUAUGAUUUUCAUUGAACGUAAUGAUCUCUAAUUGUAUCUCUAUUAUGCAUUCAUAUAGGGGACUUUUAGAGAAUAAUUUGGGUUGUCACAUGCAUUCAUCCAAUUCAAUGAGUAAAGGAAAAUCUGAGGGUUAAUUUGUGCAUCACGGUUAAUCUGGGGUGUUGAGCAUCAUAGUUUAUUGAAAAGCAAUUGGAAAUCAAUUCAUGUACAAGUGUGUCAUGUGUGAAGAACGGACCUCUAACUAAUCCAUCCAUCAUCUCAUUUCUUAAAUUCGCUUUACAAUCUGUCUAAUUUUAUAAGUUAUUUGUUCGUUUCGAAUUCGUCAAAACCAAAAUCCCCCUUUUACUUUGUUGUUUCAAAGUGUUAAAUUUAUAUUUCGUUAGUGUUUUUGAGUGUUUUGAUUCAAGUCAAAACCCAAAUUUAGUCCAAAGUUGUGUUAGAGUCAAAUCUGCCCAGUAAGUGUUUUUAGGCAAUUUUGAGUGUUUUUUAAGUUAUUUUGCAUCUUUAGAAUCUGUUUUGAGUCAUUUGAGUCUAUUCAAACGUUUUUAACUUUGUUUUUACGUCUUUGAGUUAGUUUAGAGGUUUUAGCAAGCCCUCCUAAUCCCCGGUUUAGAACGAUCCCUACUUGCAUUUAUACUACAAUUUGACAACAAGAACGAUCCUUAGAACGAUCCCAGGUGAAUUGGACUUCGUCCCAAGUAUGAAAGUUCUUCCUCUUAUUGUGCUCUACAUUCCUGUAAACUUUGGUAAUUUUAGACAUGGGUGAAAUCUUCCAGUGAGUAUGGGCGGCACGUGGCCCGAGGACGCACUUGACCCUUUUAGGCUAAAUUUGAUACCCCGAUUCCAUACGUGACAUCCGAUGGACAAAAUUCCAUCGUUCGAACAUAACAUAGUUUCGUUAGGAUCCGUCCCUUGAUCAUUAUAACCAUUGACGAUCCAACCUUUGGAUCGUCACCAAACUUUAAUGCGUUAUAGCAUGCAAUAUUUGAGGACAUUAGAAACUAACGGAUUAGGAAUCCAACGUACGGAUCUUGAUGAAUUGAAAUUUUAAGUUUGUAAAACUAAUUGUUGACCGCCACCUAAUUAUAGCAAUUGGUGAAGAUCCGACUGUUGGAUCAUUCCAAAAUUUUAAGAUAUUGUCCUACAAGAUAAAUUAUACUCUUAGGAAGUUAUGGAUCGAAAAUUCGUGGGUGGAUAUUCUGGAUCGAAUUACAUUGGGGUUAUGGACCCAACCGUUGAUUGAGAGUUGACUUUUAGUCAACAUGUCUCGAAUCGUUUUAAAUACUAAAACUAAUAUUACUAGAGACUAAGUGAAGUCUAGUGGGUCUACAUAGAUUAGUGAGUGACUUUAAGAUAUGUGAUGCGAUUAUUACCUGAUUUCGUAUUUAGUAUCAUUUGUGGAUAGCACUUGAUUUUAUAAAUGUGAUUCUAUUGAAAUGUGAUUUAUAUAUAUUUAGCCAUUGAUCUAUGUUUAUUAAAUGUGAUUUGACUUGUGUAUUGAUGAUGUUUGUGAAAUGUAAUUUGAAGUGCUUGAUUGAUUUGUUUGAUGAAAUGUGAAGGCUAGUAGUGGACCGUUAACCAUUGUCAUGGGGUUUGUUGCUUUGAAGCUUGUUUCAUAUCUCGUUUCAUUGUUUUAUUUCUCGUUUCGUUGAUCUAAAUUUAGUACUUGUGCUUUGUUUCAUUUCGUUGAGCUUUUGUAAAUUGAGUAACUUAAUUCAUAUUUUGUUUCUUCAAGCCGUUGUUAUGCUCCAUGGACUUCCGCUCAGUUCCAUUGAGUGAUCCAAAACUGGGUUCUGUUGGGGUUCCGUUAAGUGGUCAUGUUCCCUCUCUAUCUGGAUUCCGUUAAGUGGUUCGGAAUCCCUUGUACUCUGCGAUUCCGUUGAAUGGUCCAAAAUCGUAUCCUACCUUAAAUUUCGUUAAUUGGUUAUUUAUCCAUUGUACUAUGUUAUUCUGUUGAGUGGUUCGGAAUGGUAUCCACUCGAAUUUCAUUAAGAGGUCCGAAAUCUCUUCUACUCAGCGAUUCCGCUAAUUGGUCUGAAAUCGUAUCCUGGUUUGGAUUUCGUUGAGUGGUCUGGAAUCCUGCUUGGUUUUUUUAUUCAAUUGAAUGGUCCGGAACCUGAUGUUGUUGGAUUUUGUUGAAUGGUCUGAAAUCACAUUCUUCAAAGAUAUAGGCUUCAACCGAACUAUGUCGCUCUAGCCCUGCAUUUUGUGUGUUGUAAGUGUUAUUGAUUGAUGUGAUUGUGGAAUAGUGUUGGAAAGCAUAUGUGUGUGUGAAUGGCAAGAUGACAACUGUUGUUUGGCUUAUGGUUGAUGUGUAGUGUGGUACUCUAUGUUUUAUACUAGGAAGUGAUUACAGAAAGUUUAGAGUUUAACAAAUGGUGAACUACGAAUGGUUUAAUCCCUAUUUAGGGUAUUAGGCAGUCUAACGAGGAGGUUAGAUGCAACCAUAAAGUAUACGAAAAUUACUACGCAAUCCAAAUCUUGAGUUGUGCUUUGUCCAUAUCCCAGAUGUGGGACAUGUUAGAGAUACGGGUUCUUGG
This 2583-nucleotide long non-coding RNA is filed under the name Malus domestica (apple). Its description in RNAcentral is "long non-coding RNA (MDOM_LNC006847)". Lineage: Eukaryota; Viridiplantae; Streptophyta; Magnoliopsida; Rosales; Rosaceae. The record is from RNAcentral.